AAAUGCGAUAAGUAGUGUGAAUUGCAGAAUUCAGUGAAUCAUCGAAUCUUUGAACGCACAUUGCGCCCCUUGGUAUUCCAUGGGGCAUGCCUGUUCGAGCGUCAUUUGUACCCUCAAGCUCUGCUUGGUGUUGGGUGUUUGUCCCCGUCUCCGCGCGUGGACUCGCCCCAAAGUGAUUGGCAGCCGGCGUACUGGUCCCGGAGCGCAGCACAUGUCGCGCAAACGAGUGCCUUGGUACGGCGGCGUCCAUAAGCCCCUCUCUCACGCUCUUGACCUCAGAUCAGGUAGGGAUACCCGCUGAACUUAAGC
Molecule: unclassified non-coding RNA, 309 nt
Filed under: plant metagenome
Description: partial contains 5.8S ribosomal RNA, internal transcribed spacer 2, and large subunit ribosomal RNA
Rfam family: 5.8S ribosomal RNA (bases 1-104)
Source: RNAcentral